RNAcentral lists this transfer RNA (68 nucleotides) under Marmota monax (woodchuck). RNAcentral describes it as "tRNA.Glu". Lineage: Eukaryota; Metazoa; Chordata; Mammalia; Rodentia; Sciuridae. The record is from RNAcentral.
GGAUUGUAGUUCAGUGGUAGAGCCCUUGCCCCUCACGCAUGAAGCACUGGGUUCCAUCCUCAGCACCA